UUCUUGAUCCCUGUAGUGGUUGCCUCUCUUGUUGUCUUUCACUUCCUCUUGCUGUCUCUGUCUCUGUAUCUAUGGGCCCAUCUCUGAUUAAAAACAUUUUAUUUUAUUUUUAAUAUAGAUAUUGCCCUGACUUAUCUGUGUUCAUGUGACCCCCCUUCCUUCCCCCCUCCCCAGGAACGCAAGCUUCAAGAGGGCAGGGGAGUAUUUCCUUUUUGUCUUUGUACCCCUGACAUUUAAUACAGAGCCCUGGACACUGUAGGACCUGAAUAAAUGCUAAACUGAAUUGCUUGGUGCCUUGAAAUGAGAUCCAGUAACAGCAUAUUUUUUUUUGCCCUGUGACUUUUCCGGGUUAGAUCAUGUGGAUACAUUAGCUCAGAUAUGCUCUGGGCUCUAGUAACUAUUUGCUCAUGCAAUAUUGGACUCAGAUAAGCUUGGAGCCGCCCUCUGGUUCAUUACAUUUACAUCAUGCUGCUUAGAAGUACUUGACUUUCCUUCUCCUGACCCCUUUUUCCACUUCCCCAUUUAUCUUAUCUUUGUAACCAUAGAAACGACUCUUUAAAAGGUGAAGUUGCCCCAGUUACUCUCUUUGAUUGGCUGGAAUGCAACCAUUCCAUGACUGUUUUAUUAAUGGCAUGGCAGACAUAGCAAAACAUUCAUUUUUGAAUGUGGCUUCUCUUUGAGUUUAGGGACUGGGAAGAAGUGAAAGGUCUCAGUACAGAGAAUAUGAAAAUGAAACUAUUUCUGCAGCCAAAGUGAGAAAGAUCAGCAGUAACGUUCUUGAUCAGACAGACAGUGGGUAUCAACAGUCAAAGCUUCAUUUUAUUGUUAACAUUGAACUAAAAGUCUCCUUUUUGUUCUUCUUCCUGUUUGAUUCUUAGUGUGCAAACACUGAGGGAGGUGGAGUCCCCUUUAUAGUACCUAUGAAGUAGAUUUGUUUUGAAGAGGCACAGUUGGACUUCCCCUCAUGCUUUCAUGGCCAAAUGUUUGCAUCAUAUAGGCUAUAGUCCCCUGGAAGAUAUCACUUGGAAAAUUUCCCAACUUUGAAUAAUCAUCAUAGGUUGCUUUUUAGCCUUCCAUAAAAGUGAGGCACACAUGCCGUGCUUUCAGGAAAUUCUCAUAAAGUUAUACGAGUCAGAUUUUAUAUGAUUAUGUGAACACUAGGCCCCUGAAGU
This 1172-nucleotide long non-coding RNA is filed under the name Monodelphis domestica (gray short-tailed opossum). RNAcentral's name for it is "lncRNA (ENSMODG00000038205.1)". The record is from RNAcentral. Lineage: Eukaryota; Metazoa; Chordata; Mammalia; Didelphimorphia; Didelphidae.